AAUAGAUACCCAGGUAGUCCACGCCGUAAACGAUGGAUGCUAGCUGUUAUGCGUAUCGACCCGUGUAGUAGCGAAGCUAACGCGUUAAGCAUCCCGCCUGGGGAGUACGAACGCAAGUUUAAAACUCAAAGGAAUUGACGGGGACCCGCACAAGCGGUGGAGCGUGUUCUUUAAUUCGAGGCUAAGCGAAGAACCUUACCAGGGCUUGACAUCCUUGGAAUUUCUCCGAAAGGAGAGAGUACUUUAUUGGACCAAGUGACAGGUGCUGCAUGGCCGUCGUCAGCUCGUGUCGUGAGAUGUUUGGUUAAGUCCAUUAACGAGCGCAACCCUUAUGAAUAGUUGUAUUUUUCUAUUCAGACUGCCCCGGUAACGGGGAGGAAGGGGGGAUGAUGUCAGGUCAGUAUUGCCCUUACGCCCUGGGCUAGAAACGCGCUACAAUGGCCGGUACAAUGCGCUGCCAACCCGCGAGGGGAGCAAAUCGCAUCAAAGCCGGUCCCAGUUCGGAUAAGAGGCUGAAACUCGCCUCUUUGAAGCCGGAAUCGCUAGU
RNAcentral lists this ribosomal RNA (547 nucleotides) under uncultured bacterium. RNAcentral describes it as "bacterial SSU rRNA". It matches the Rfam family "Bacterial small subunit ribosomal RNA", at positions 777 to 1339 of the family's 1533-position model. The record is from RNAcentral.